UAAUACGUAGGGGGCAAGCGUUGUCCGGAUUUACUGGGUGUAAAGGGUGCUCAGGUGGCUUGGAAAGUCAGUGGUGAAAUCUGAGAGCUUAACUCUCAAACUGCCAUUGAUACUUCUUAGCUUGAGUACGGAAGAGGCUGAUGGAAUUUCAGGUGUAGCAGUGAAAUGCGUAGAUAUCUGAAAGAACACCAGUGGCGAAGGCGGUCAGCUGGUCCGUUACUGACACUAAAGCACGAAAGCGUGGGUAGCAAACAGGAUUAGAUACCCUGGUAGUCCACGCCCUAAACGAUGAAUACUAGACGUUGGAUGUAAAAAUUCAGUGUCGCAGCUAACGCAUUAAGUAUUCCACCUGGGGAGUACGAUCGCAAGGUUG
Molecule: ribosomal RNA, 373 nt
Filed under: uncultured bacterium
Lineage: Bacteria
Description: bacterial SSU rRNA
Rfam family: Bacterial small subunit ribosomal RNA
Source: RNAcentral